Ctenopharyngodon idella (grass carp) is the source of this 1234-nucleotide long non-coding RNA. RefSeq lists it as uncharacterized. The record is from RefSeq and is a predicted model, not a curated record. Lineage: Eukaryota; Metazoa; Chordata; Actinopteri; Cypriniformes; Xenocyprididae. The transcript has 2 exons.
ACAAAAAACAACUAAUAAAAAUGACAAACAAAAAUUACUAAAAAUAAAAAUAAACUGAAAAUAUAAAAAUAAAAGUUCAUUCAAAAUAUUAAUAAAAGCUGUUAUACACUACCGGUCAAAAGUUUGGAAACAUUACUAUUUUUAAUGUUUUUGAACGAAGUCUCUUAUGCUCAUUAAGGCUGCAUUUAUUUCAUAAUAAAUACAGAAAAAACAAUAAUAUUGUGAAAUAUUAUUGCAAUUUAAAAUAAAGGUUUUCUAUUUUAAUAUACUUUAAAAUAUAAUUUAUUUCUGUGAUGCAAAGCUGAAUUGUCAGCAUCAUUACUCCAGUCUUCAGUGUCACAUGAUCCUUCAGAAAUCAUUCUAAUAUGCUGAUUUAUUAUCAAUGUUGGAAACAGUUGUGCUGCUUAAUAUUAUUUUAUAACCUGUGAUACUUUUUCAGGAUUCUUUGAUGAAUAAAAAGUUAAAAAAUAUCAGCAUUUAUUUAAAAUAGAAAUCUUUUGUAACAAUACACACUACCGUUCAAAAGUUUGGGGUCAGUAAUUUUUUUUCUUUCUUUUUUUUGAAAGAAAUUAAUACUUUUAUUCAGCACGGAUGUGUUAAAUUGAUAAAAAGUGAUAGUAAAGAUUUAUAUUGUUAGAAAAGAUUUAUAUUUUGAAUAAAUGCUGUUCUUUUUAACCUUUUAUUCAUCAAUGAAUCCUGAAAAAAGUAUCACAGGUUCCAAAAAAAUAUUAAGCAACACAACUGUUUUCAACAUUGAUAAUAACUGAGUAUCAAAUCAGCAUAUUACAAUGAUUUCUGAAGGAUCAUGUGACACUGAAGACUGGAGUAAUGAUGCUGACAAUUCAGCUUUGCAUCACAGAAAUAAAUUAUAUUUUAAAGUAUAUUAAAAUAGAAAACCAUAAUUUUAAAUUGUAAAAAUAUUUCACAAUAUUAUUGUUUUUUCUGUAUUUAUUAUGAAAUAAAUGCAGCAUUAAUGAGCACAAGAGACUUCGUUCAAAAACAUUAAAAAUAGUAAUGUUUCCAAACUUUUGACCGGUAGUGUAUAUAAUGUUAUAUAAGUUAUUUUAAAUGUCACAUUUCACAAUAUAGUAUUUCAAAUGUUCUGUAUUUUUGAUCAAAUGAAUGCUGCCUUGGUGAGCGUAGCUUUCAUAAACAUUAAUAAAAAGAAAAAAAAGAAGAAAAAAAAAAAAGUUACUGACCCCAAACUUUUGUAUGGUAGUGUAUUUUAAAAACA